This 572-nucleotide ribosomal RNA is filed under the name uncultured bacterium. Its description in RNAcentral is "bacterial SSU rRNA". It matches the Rfam family "Bacterial small subunit ribosomal RNA", at positions 335 to 919 of the family's 1533-position model. The record is from RNAcentral.
AUUCCUACGGGAGGCAGCAGUCGAGAAUAUUGCGCAAUGGGCGAAAGCCUGACGCAGCGACAUCGCGUGAAGGAUGAAGAUCUUCGGUUUGUAAAUUUCUUUUCUAUGGGAAAAAUUUUCUGAUUGUACCAUAGGGAUAAGGGAUGACUAAACUCGUGCCAGCAGUAGCGGUAAUACGAGUGUCCCGAGCAUUAUCCGGAUCUACUGGGCGUAAAGAGUUCGUAGGUGGUUCAUUAAGUUUCUCGUUAAAUCUUCAGGGCUUAACCUUGAGGCAGCGGGGAAAACUGGUGAACUAGAGGAUGUUAGAGGCUAAUAGAACACUUGGUGGAGGGGUGAAAUCCGUUGAUAUCAAGUGGAAUACCAAAAGCGAAGGCAAUUAGCUGGGGCAGUCCUGACACUGAGGAACGAAAGCGUGGGGAGAGAAAAGGAUUAGAUACCCUUGUAUUCCACGCCCUAAACGAUGAACACUAGCUAUUGCAAGUGUCGACCCUUGCAGUGGCGAAGCUAACGCGUUAAGUGUUCCGCCUGGGAAGUACGACCGCAAGGUUAAAACUCAAAGGAAUUGACGGAAU